ACAAUACAGUUUCAAAUUACAGUAUUUUUCGGACUAUAAGUCGCUCCGGAGUAUAAGUCGCACCAGCCAAAAAAUGCAUAAUAAAGAAGAAAAAAACAAAUAUAAGUCGCACUGGAAUAUAAGUCG
Long non-coding RNA from Sphaeramia orbicularis (orbiculate cardinalfish), 126 nucleotides. RefSeq lists it as uncharacterized. The transcript is spliced from 3 exons. NCBI's taxonomy places the organism in Eukaryota, Metazoa, Chordata, Actinopteri, Kurtiformes, Apogonidae. The record is from RefSeq and is a predicted model, not a curated record.